Long non-coding RNA from Daphnia pulex (common water flea), 912 nucleotides. RefSeq lists it as uncharacterized. The transcript is spliced from 3 exons. NCBI's taxonomy places the organism in Eukaryota, Metazoa, Arthropoda, Branchiopoda, Diplostraca, Daphniidae. The record is from RefSeq and is a predicted model, not a curated record.
CGCAAGGCUUAGGAGGUGAGGGUGCGAAAAAAAAUGUGUAUAAAAGGAGAGAGAAAAGGAUACAGACAUCAGUUGGGUGAGCAUCACCGACAUGGCAACAACUGCUGUGGACUGCCUGUACCAACUGGCUUCUUCAUCGCAUUACCAGCUCGAAACAAUUGGUAAACAUUUCGUUUCUCUACAUAGUUUUGUAUUACUAAGUCUAUUAUUGACUAUGGGUUAAUAUGCCAUUCACUGUUUGUCUAUUUAACUGUGGCGUCGUGUUGCUGUUGGGUGUUGUAUCGUUGAUGGCUUGGUCGACCACUGGUGUACCGAUGUUUCCUUCGCCAACCCCAUCGCCAACUGGAUUGUUCAUCGAUAAACGAGUUCGCAGUCAUGGUCAACUACACGCCAACACGCCCUGAAUUAUAGACGUCCUUCAGUUUCUGCCAGCAUUAACUGGCUUCGUGCUGCUGUUGAAUGUUGUAUCGUUGCUGGCUGAGUCGACCACUGGUGUACCGAUAUUCCCUGGGCAUGGCGGAUAUUAAACCGCGACGCUGCUGUCUUACUACACAUCAACAUAGGUGACGACCUGUUACCACACCGGGACUACCAAGUAUACUUCACAGAAAAUGCAGAAUAUUACACAAGUACAUGUGCUACCCCAGUUUACUACAUCGAGUAACCUAAGCAUUACUCUGGUCCGAGCUACAACAGAGGCACUGUUUACUACACCACCAUUGACCCCGAUUGUUACGCUGCCCCCAACCGCUACAUUGAAGCUCCGAAGUACUACACCAUUGAAGGUAAACCAAUUCGCAUUGAUGGGUAGAUAUUCAUUUAUAUUUCGAGUCGUGAAUCAAUUCUACAUAGUUUCUGGUUGUUGAUAAUUUGAUAUGACUGUUGCGUGUUGUAUCAUUGAUGGCUGGGUCG